GAUCAUGGCUCAGGAUGAACGCUAGCUACAGGCUUAACACAUGCAAGUCGAGGGGCAGCAUGUUGGUUGCUUGCAACCAAUGAUGGCGACCGGCGCACGGGUGAGUAACGCGUAUCCAACCUACCCUUGUCCAUCGGAUAACCCGUCGAAAGGCGGCCUAACACGAUAUGCGGUUCACAGCAGGCAUCUAACGUGAACGAAAUGUAAAGGAGAGGGAUGGGGAGUGCGU
This 229-nucleotide ribosomal RNA is filed under the name uncultured bacterium. Its description in RNAcentral is "partial 16S ribosomal RNA". It matches the Rfam family "Bacterial small subunit ribosomal RNA", at positions 15 to 236 of the family's 1533-position model. The record is from RNAcentral.